UUUUCUGUAUUUGCACGGCGUCGCACAUAAUACAAGUUACAACCACAUCCAAUCACAACCACAUUCACAGUAUACAGCAUACAUUCACAUCUAUCAUUUGAAAGUGUUUCCCAGCCGAAAACUCAUUUUUGAAAUACUAAAAUCACGAAAAGCCGAAAAACCUUAUUAAAAACUGUCUCCCACACAAAAACCUUUCAUUCUUUGAAAAUGAGCUGCCACGAGGGAUAGAAAAUUAUUUUUCAUAAAUCUAUACAAUAUUUCCAAAGUAGCUUUAUUUAAGAUUUCACAACAAAAACAUAUUCAAGUAAAACUAAACUAAACCAC
This 324-nucleotide long non-coding RNA is filed under the name Ananas comosus (pineapple). RNAcentral's name for it is "long non-coding RNA (ACOM_LNC043967)". The record is from RNAcentral. Lineage: Eukaryota; Viridiplantae; Streptophyta; Magnoliopsida; Poales; Bromeliaceae.